This 321-nucleotide unclassified non-coding RNA is filed under the name uncultured Entrophospora. RNAcentral describes it as "uncultured Claroideoglomus sequence contains ITS2". The stretch from base 1 to 52 matches the Rfam family "5.8S ribosomal RNA", at positions 103 to 154 of the family's 154-position model. The record is from RNAcentral. Lineage: Eukaryota; Fungi; Glomeromycota; Glomeromycetes; Entrophosporales; Entrophosporaceae.
AACGCAUAUUGCACUCUCUGGUAUUCCGGGGAGUAUGCCUGUUUGAGGGUCAGUAAAUAAUAAUUAUCAUAAUCUUUUGAUUGUGGAAUUGGGCCUUUAUUUCAUUUUAAUGAUUUAUGGCCUUAAAUUUAUGUUACCGCUUGUUUAAUAUGAAAUUCGACCGAAUGGAGCAAUUAAACAUUCUCUCGUUAGGCGGAUUCAUCAAGCAAUUACGAUUUUUUGGCCGUCGAAGCACUUUUUUUUUAAAAGUGCUUGGUCGAGAUUGUAAGAUACAUUUUUAACAAUGACCUCAAAUCAGGCAAGAAUACCCGCUGAACUUAA